AACAAAGUAAUUCGGCUGGAGCUGGCCUGCUUCCAGCAAAAUCUGAAAGAAGAUGACCUCAUCAUUGAAGAAUUAUGAUUUUCCUCCCUGAAGGAAUUGCUGGCUCUAUUUGGACCUCCCAAUUAGCCAAAGACUGGCAGAAGAAGAGGCGCUGAGAAUCAGGAGGGGGACAGAUGAUUUAACCAGCCAUGAAAUAUGGACUGAGAUUGGGCAGAACUGAGAUUGGGCAGGAAGGAAGGAAGGAAGGAAGGAAGGAAGGAAGGAAGGAAGGAAGGAAGGAUCCAUGACAGAUGGUCAUCUAAUCUCUGCUUUAAAACCUGCAAGGAAGGAGAGUCCAUCACCUUCCAGGGGAGUCCAUUCUUCUGUUGAACAAUGUUUAGUCGGAAUCUCCUUUGUUGAAUCCUGAAGCCAUUGGUUCAAGUCCUACCAUCCAGAGCAGGAGAAAAAAAGCUUGCUGCAUCUUCCAUGUGACAGCCCUUGAGUUAUUUGAAAAUGGCUCUCUCUCUGGUGUCACUGGAUCAAGCUGAUCGAUUUUCUUGCAUUACUUAAACUAAAUAGUUUUUAAUGGAUUUUGAAUAAACAUGCAAUAAAUUGUUACUGUUUUGAA
This is a long non-coding RNA of Podarcis raffonei (Aeolian wall lizard), 607 nucleotides long. RefSeq lists it as uncharacterized. NCBI's taxonomy places the organism in Eukaryota, Metazoa, Chordata, Lepidosauria, Squamata, Lacertidae. The record is from RefSeq and is a predicted model, not a curated record. The transcript is spliced from 2 exons.